This 133-nucleotide ribosomal RNA is filed under the name uncultured bacterium. RNAcentral's name for it is "partial 16S ribosomal RNA". The record is from RNAcentral.
CACGAAGUUAGCCGGGGCUUAUUCUGCGGGUACCGUCAUUAUCGUCCCCGCCAAAAGAGCUUUACAACCCUAAGGCCUUCGUCACUCACGCGGCAUGGCUGGAUCAGGCUUGCGCCCAUUGUCCAAUAUUCCC